Molecule: unclassified non-coding RNA, 328 nt
Filed under: soil metagenome
Description: partial contains 5.8S ribosomal RNA, internal transcribed spacer 2, and large subunit ribosomal RNA
Rfam family: 5.8S ribosomal RNA (bases 1-120)
Source: RNAcentral
GAUGAAGAACGUAGCGAAAUGCGAUAAGUAAUGUGAAUUGCAGAAUUCAGUGAAUCAUCGAAUCUUUGAACGCACAUUGCGCCCCUUGGUAUUCCGAGGGGCAUGCCUGUUCGAGCGUCAUUAUAACCCCUCAAGCUCAGCUUGGUGUUGGGGCCUGCCGCACGGGCAGCCCUUAAAAUCAGUGGCGGUGCCAUCUGGCUCUAAGCGUAGUAAUUCUUCUCGCUAUAGAGUCCCGGUGGAUGCUUGCCAUUAACCCCCACUUUUCUAUGGUUGACCUCGGAUCAGGUAGGGAUACCCGCUGAACUUAAGCAUAUCAAUAAGCGGAGGA